This 481-nucleotide ribosomal RNA is filed under the name uncultured bacterium. RNAcentral's name for it is "bacterial SSU rRNA". It matches the Rfam family "Bacterial small subunit ribosomal RNA", at positions 330 to 804 of the family's 1533-position model. The record is from RNAcentral.
UGCGAACUCCUACGGGAGGCAGCAGUGGGGAAUAUUGCACAAUGGGGGGAACCCUGAUGCAGCCAUGCCGCGUGAAUGAAGAAGGCCUUCGGGUUGUAAAGUUCUUUCGGUAGCGAGGAAGGCAUUUAGUUUAAUAGACUAGAUGAUUGACGUUAACUACAGAAGAAGCACCGGCUAACUCCGUGCCAGCAGCCGCGGUAAUACGGGGGGUGCGAGCGUUAAUCGGAAUAACUGGGCGUAAAGGGCACGCAGGCGGUGACUUAAGUGAGAUGUGAAAGCCCCGGGCUUAACCUGGGAAUUGCAUUUCAUACUGGGUCGCUAGAGUACUUUAGGGAGGGGUAGAAUUCCACGUGUAGCGGUGAAAUGCGUAGAGAUGUGGAGGAAUACCGAAGGCGAAGGCAGCCCCUUGGGAAUGUACUGACGCUCAUGUGCGAAAGCGUGGGGAGCAAACAGGAUUAGAAACCCCGGUAGUCCAGAAGUG